UAAUCUCACUUCUACAACUUUUUUGUUGUAAAAUGUGGACUUGGACAUCUGCCGUGUUUCAACGGCUCGUCUUAAAUGCCUGAGUGUACCCCGCUUUGCGGCGUAUUCGGUGUGAUAAAUAUUUCACCGGAGUUUGGUCUUUUGACCGCGCUUUUGCAAUUGGUGGGCUCUAUGCUUUCCAACUGUCCCCUGUGGACAAUCUUUGACA
RNAcentral lists this unclassified non-coding RNA (208 nucleotides) under uncultured Serendipita. Its description in RNAcentral is "partial internal transcribed spacer 2". The record is from RNAcentral. Lineage: Eukaryota; Fungi; Basidiomycota; Agaricomycetes; Sebacinales.